UACGGAGGAUGCGAGCGUUAUCCGGAUUUAUUGGGUUUAAAGGGUGCGCAGGCGGAUGGUCAAGUCAGCGGUCAAAUCACGGGGCUCAACCCCGUCCAGCCGUUGAAACUGGCCGUCUAGAGUGGGCGAGAAGUACGCGGAAUGCGUGGUGUAGCGGUGAAAUGCAUAGAUAUCACGCAGAACUCCGAUUGCGAAGGCAGCGUACCGGCGCCCUACUGACGCUCAUGCACGAAAGCGUGGGUAUCGAACAGG
This 252-nucleotide ribosomal RNA is filed under the name uncultured bacterium. Its description in RNAcentral is "partial 16S ribosomal RNA". It matches the Rfam family "Bacterial small subunit ribosomal RNA", at positions 524 to 776 of the family's 1533-position model. The record is from RNAcentral.